Molecule: ribosomal RNA, 486 nt
Filed under: uncultured bacterium
Lineage: Bacteria
Description: bacterial SSU rRNA
Rfam family: Bacterial small subunit ribosomal RNA
Source: RNAcentral
GACUAACGCUGGCGGCGUGCCUAAUACAUGCAAGUCGAACGGGAUUCUUUGAUCAGCUUGCUGAGAGAAGGAUCUAGUGGCGGACGGGUGAGUAACGCGUGGGAAUCUGCCUCUUACUGGGGGAUAACAGUGGGAAACUACUGCUAAUACCGCAUAAGAUCUUCGGAUGAAAGGUGCAACUGCACCGGUAAGAGAUGAGCCCGCGUCCCAUUAGCUAGUUGGUGAGGUAAAGGCUCACCAAGGCGACGAUGGGUAGCCGGCCUGAGAGGGUGAACGGCCACACUGGGACUGAGACACGGCCCAGACUCCUACGGGAGGCAGCAGUAGGGAAUCUUCCGCAAUGGGCGCAAGCCUGACGGAGCGACGCCGCGUGAGUGAUGAAGGCCUUCGGUCGUAAAGCUCUGUUCUUGAGGACGAAUAAGCCAGGGAGUGGAAAGCCCUGGUGAUGACUGUACUCAAGGAGAAAGCUCCGGCUAACUACGUGCC